UGUUCUAACUUCAAUGCAUGU
Molecule: non-coding RNA, 21 nt
Organism: Caenorhabditis elegans
Lineage: Eukaryota; Metazoa; Nematoda; Chromadorea; Rhabditida; Rhabditidae
Source: Ensembl